GUUAUUCCUUAUAUACUGCAACUCUUAUAACUGUUCUAAAUGAAGCAUUUAGGGUAAAAAAAUCACUUCUUAAGGUGGUACCUAACACUACAGGGAGAUAACUCUGAAAUAUCAGCUAAACGUUUUAAUUACGUUGCGUUGUGAAGGCAAUAUAAAGCUUCUCAAUGAUCAAAAUUAGUGUUUGUCAAACUGCUAUAUAAGGGCCAUAUAACCAGUGUAAUUUUUCUGAUAAAACGCUUGGUUCAAUUUUUUUGAAUUUUUUAUAUUUUUGUUAAAGGGUCAAAGUAAAUAUUUUGUCAAAAUUUUAUGAAAAUUAAACGAGCCAAAUUAAUUUUAGUGAAAGUGUUGGGUACCACCUUAAUGUUCAACGGAAGACGUAAAAUUUCCGCGAACAUGUAUGUUUUAUUGACGUCAUAAAUAAAACUCUACGGAAACAUAUUGUCAACGUCAUAAACAAGGUGAUAUACGGUCAGUAACUGUAUAUCACAUAUGAAUAUACGGUCAAUGCAAUUUGACUGCUCAAAUAGCACAGCUGCAGUAUAUAAGGUAAUAAGGAGGCGGGGCUUAUACAUGCUUAGUAGUGGUGUUACGUCCCUUUAGAAAAACAAAACAGUACUGAGAAAAAUAUUAAAGGUUUCAAUAGACGAAGAAAGUGAUGAUAAAGUGAAAUAAAUUAAUAAAACACAUUUAAAUCUAACAAGUUGUCAUUGUUGGCAUCUGUUUUUGUAGGAUCAAAGGAACUAGUUUCUUAAUCAUGUUAAUGCUAAC
Molecule: long non-coding RNA, 768 nt
Filed under: Mytilus galloprovincialis (Mediterranean mussel)
Lineage: Eukaryota; Metazoa; Mollusca; Bivalvia; Mytilida; Mytilidae
Source: RNAcentral